GAUGAACGCUGGCGGCGUGCCUAAUACAUGCAAGUCGAGCGGUAAGGCUUUCACAGAUUAUUUAACCAGAUAAGUUCUUCGGAAAACUGUUUGCAGCGAUGAUUCCCCGGCUAGGGAAUCAGAGUUGAAUAAUGCGUGAAAGUACACGAGCGGCGGACGGCUGAGUAACACGUAGGAACGUACCCCAAAGUGAGGGAUAAGCACCGGAAACGGUGUCUAAUACCGCAUGUGAUCUUCGGAUUAAAGCUUCGGCGCUUUGGGAACGGCCUGCGCAUGAUUAGCUUGUUGGUGAGGUAAAAGCUCACCAAGGCGACAAUCAUUAGCUGGUCUGAGAGGAUGAUCAGCCAGACUGGGACUGAGAACGGCCCAGACUCCUACGGGAGGCAGCAGUAGGGAAUUUUCCACAAUGGACGAAAGUCUGAUGGAGCAACGCCGCGUGCAGGAUGAAGGGUUUCGGCUCGUAAACUGCUUUAUCUGUGAAGAUUAUGACGGUAG
Molecule: ribosomal RNA, 495 nt
Filed under: uncultured bacterium
Lineage: Bacteria
Description: bacterial SSU rRNA
Rfam family: Bacterial small subunit ribosomal RNA
Source: RNAcentral